AGUGGAAUAACUGGGUCACAUGAUGGUUUCAUCCCUAAUUUUUUGAGGAAUUUCCAUACUGCUUUCCAGAAGGGUUGCACCAAUUUGCAGUCCCACCAACAAU
Molecule: microRNA precursor, 103 nt
Filed under: Marmota monax (woodchuck)
Lineage: Eukaryota; Metazoa; Chordata; Mammalia; Rodentia; Sciuridae
Source: RNAcentral